This is a non-coding RNA of Vicugna pacos (alpaca), 2861 nucleotides long. NCBI's taxonomy places the organism in Eukaryota, Metazoa, Chordata, Mammalia, Artiodactyla, Camelidae. The record is from RefSeq and is a predicted model, not a curated record.
CCCUUGACAUUCCAUCCUGUGCCCAGCCUGUGACCGCACAGCACCUAAUGCACCUGUCAGUCACAGAGCUCCCAUGUCCGCUUGGCCAACAGCACCGAACUCCUGGAAAGCAGAAAGGACACAGAUACAUCUUCGCUGAGUUACCUACCACGAUUCGGGGGAGAAACAGUCCUCUCACACAAGCCUCGCCAGCUCCGCGGGGUAAGCCAUGUUGUUGCCAUUUUCAGCCACAGAAACUGAGGCUCAGGGAAGCAAUCCACGUCACCCAGUGUGUUGCCAUUGCAGCCAGAAGUGGGGAGGGCUGAAAGGGAGAAGGACGCCUUGUCAGUUAAAAGCAUGUUCUUUGGAGGCUGACGAACUGUGCUUGGUUUAAAUUCUGACUCUGCAACUUCUUGCCUGUGGAAUUCAGGCAGGUUCCUACUGGGAGGCAGUGUGGGGUAGCAGUUAAGAGCACAGGCCCUGGAAUCAAAUGUCAGUUCCGCCAUCUGCUAGUUUCAUGACCUUGGGCAAGUUCCUUUGCUUCUCUGCACCACCGUUUCCACAGCUGUAAAACAGGAUAAUAAUAGCUCCGACCGCAUAGACUUGUCAUGCAGAUUAAAUGUGAUAAUCCCCGUGGAACACUUAGCACAGUGUCUGGCCCGUGGGCCGGCUGUGUAUGAACGCGGACCUCGUUGACUCCAGCUCCACCUGUUCCCCAGCCCAUCACCCUUCAACCUGGUGGCUCAGUCAGCCCUUGGCGUAUGAAUACACUUAACCUUUGUGGCUCUGAGACCCGGAAAUGAUGAAUCAAGGUCCCACCUGGCUUUGGAGUGAGAACUGGGAUUGAAUUUCAGCAAGGAGAUCUGAGCCCUUCUCACUGUGGGAGGAAUACACUUCCUCACUCUGUUGAUGUUGGACUUAGCCAUGUGACUUGCUUUGGCCAAAAGAAUAUGUGUGGAAGUGACAAGGGGCAGCUCCAAGACACCCAGUAUCUCCAUUCCCACUUCUUGAGCAGCUGUCAUCGGCCAUGUGAACCUGAGUCCCAGACAGUGGGGGCUCCAUCAGCCUGCACUCAGAAUCAGAAGACACAUGAGGCAGCCCUGCACUCACCCUGCAGCCCGGAGCCCAGCCCAGCCCAGCCCAGCCCAGCCCAGCCCAGGAGAGCCCUGAUGAACCCCCGCUGACCUCAGAACCCCUGGCCUUGUGUCCCAUCAUCUUUCUCAGAUUCAGACUCGUACCCUUGGCCUCAGAGAUGGUUUUUAUAGCAGAAAUGCAGAAAUAAUAGAAAGAAAUUAACAUCAGUUUUUCCCUUAAAACUUUUUAUUGUACAAAAUUUUAAGUGUAUACAAAACUGGAAUAAUAUAAUGAACCUUCCCUGGCUUCCACAGUUGUCAACUCAUGGAUGAACUUAUUAUAUACCCAUCUACACCCCCGUCCCAUGAGUUUGAUGCAAAUAUCACACAUCAUAUCAUUUCACCUGUAAACAUUUCCUUAUGUCUCUCUGAAAGAUAAGAACUUUAAACAUGUAAUCAGGAUACCAUUAUUACACCUAAAAAAAUCAACAACGAAUUCUUAAUAUUGGCAAACAUCCAGGGUUGAAAAACACCCAAUUGUUGGAUAAUUUUAAAACAUAUGUGUUUGUUUGAAUCAAGAUCCAAACAAGGUUUAUAUAUUGCAUCGAUUGAGAUGUCUCUUAAGUCUCCUUUAAUGUGUAGGUUCUUUCACUGUCUCUCUCUUUUUGUAAGUGUGGGAGGUGGAAGAGAUAAGACUAGGAGAGACUUCCCCUUUCUCUGCCUUCAAUUUAUUUAUUGAAGAAAUGAGGCAUUUGUGUUGCAGAGUUUCCUACAGUCUGGAUUUUGCUGAUGGCAUCCCUGUGGUGUCAUUUAACAAGCCCCCUGAACCCUUUAUUUCAUGUGACUAGUAUCUUCAUAGAGUCAGGGUUAAGUGUUUUUUUUUUUAAGCAAGAAUGUUUCACAGGUGACAUUGUACACCUCUACCAGGAGGCACAUCACGUAUGUGAAUAUGUCUCUCUGUGAAAUUCCUAGCCAUGAAUGAUCAUGCCCUAAACCCAUUGUUUUGUUACAGGUUGCAAAAGACAAAAUGCGAAAUUCUAAUUCUUAAAAAAAAAUUUCGAUUUAUUAGCGGAAACAUAUGUAUCAAGAGACACUCCCUUAACCAGUUAGUUGGUUACAAUGAGAUUCAGUUCAUAUUGAAAAAGUCGAAAAAAUGCUUGAUUCUUUCCCUUUAUUUACCAAUAUCCAAAAUGUUGACUUGCUUCCCUAACAUGCUCAAAGGUAAUCCAGUGAGGUUUUCUUUUCUCCUCCUCCUCCCUUUUCUGAGUAUCAUUUUGAACUUCUGGAUUUUAAAUCUGUUUGAUUUUAAACCUUAUCUAUGCUUAAAUUGUCUCACCUUUGGUCAGCUAGAGCCUCUUCCAGUUGACUUCUGAGUCCUUUUGACACGACCUUGUAGCUUCCUUACUUUCUGGAAUGACAAGAUGUUUCAAGUUCAUAUUGUGCAUUUUUUCCCCCUAGACCUUGAAUAAGCCAUUUCUCCAAGGAGCCCUGGUCCUUUCGUAUGGGAAAUGGUAUUUAGAUCUUUCACAAUCUUUUCUCUAAGGGUGCUCAUGGCUACUGCAUUGGUAAUUGUUUCUAGGUCUUUUCAGCGGAUAGAGGUAAAAAAUUUUUAAGAGGUCUUGAGUUCAUGCUGAUAAUUUCGACUUCAAUUUAGAUUAUAGAGUUUUUGCUUAACUUGUUUGAGUUUAUCUUUGUAUUUUUUUCUUAUGCUGCUGUCUUAAUUUCUAAUGGCAACAACACUAGAUUUAUUUGCUUUAUACUAUAAUGUAUAAAAUCAUAAUUUUUACUGAUCAUAUAAUUAUUAAAAAC